GGUCUGAGAGGACGACCAGUCACACGGGGACUGAGACACGGCCCCGACUCCUACGGGAGGCAGCAGUGGGGAAUUUUCCGCAAUGGGCGAAAGCCUGACGGAGUGACGCCGCGUGUGGGACGAAGGCCUUCGGGUCGUAAACCACUGUCAGUGGGAAAGAUGGGUGUCGGUGUGAAUAGCGCCGGCAUCUGACGGUACCUGCAGAGGAAGCCCCGGCCAACUCUGUGCCAGCAGCCGCGGUAAGACAGAGGGGGCAAGCGUUGCUCGGAAUUACUGGGCGUAAAGGGCGCGUAGGCGGAAUGGCAAAUCGGUCGUGAAAUCCUUCGGCUCAACCGAAGAACGUCGAUCGAAACUGCCGUUCUUGAGGAUUGCAGAGGAGACUGGAAUUCCCGGUGUAGCGGUGAAAUGUGUAGAGAUCGGGAGGAACACCGGUGGCGAAGGCGGGUCUCUGGGCAAUUCCUGACGCUGAGGCGCGAAAGCGUGGGGAGCAAACGGGAUUAGAUACCCCGGUAGUCCACGCUGUAAACGAUGACGACUAGGUGUGGGGGGGUUCGGUCCCUUCCGUGCCGCAGCUAACGCAUUAAGUCGUCCGCCUGGGGAGUACGGCCGCAAGGUUGAAACUCAAAGGAAUUGACG
This 636-nucleotide ribosomal RNA is filed under the name uncultured bacterium. RNAcentral describes it as "SSU rRNA". It matches the Rfam family "Bacterial small subunit ribosomal RNA", at positions 289 to 915 of the family's 1533-position model. The record is from RNAcentral.